This 530-nucleotide ribosomal RNA is filed under the name uncultured monogonontan. RNAcentral's name for it is "SSU rRNA". It matches the Rfam family "Eukaryotic small subunit ribosomal RNA", at positions 39 to 567 of the family's 1831-position model. The record is from RNAcentral. Lineage: Eukaryota; Metazoa; Rotifera; Eurotatoria.
AAAGAUUAAGCCAUGCAUGUCUCAGUAYAUACCUUAGCACGGUGAAACCGCGAAUGGCUCAUUAAAUCAGUUAUGGUUCCUUAGAUSGUUCAUACUACAUGGAUAACUGUGGUAAUUCUACAGCUAAUACAUGCAAAAAGCUCCGACCGUAUGGGAAGAGCGCUUUUAUUARACCAAAACCAAUGGGGUCGCAAGAUCCCUUUGUAUGGUGACUCUGGAUAACUUUGUGCUGAUCGCAUGGCCUAGAGCCGGCGACGUAUCUUUCAAGUGUCUGCCCUAUCAACUUUCGAUGGUAAGCGAUUUGCCUACCAUGGUUGUAACGGGUAACGGGGAAUCAGGGUUCGAUUCCGGAGAGGGAGCAUGAGAAACGGCUACCACAUCUACGGAAGGCAGCAGGCGCGCAAAUUACCCACUCCUARAACGGGGAGGUAGUGACGAAAAAUAACAAUACCGGACUCAAUGAGGCUCGGUAAUUGAAAUGAGUACAGUUUAAAACCCUUAACGAGGAUCUAUUGGAGGGCAAGUCUGGU